RNAcentral lists this long non-coding RNA (904 nucleotides) under Dasypus novemcinctus (nine-banded armadillo). Its description in RNAcentral is "lncRNA (ENSDNOG00000052537.1)". The record is from RNAcentral. Lineage: Eukaryota; Metazoa; Chordata; Mammalia; Cingulata; Dasypodidae.
GUUAUCAGGUCCAAAGCUCUCAUUUUAUACUCAGCACCAUGCUUUUAAGGGAAGUGUGAUAAACAUCUGUUUUUUCCCUAUUAGCUCCUUCUUUUUCCUUAACAGGCUCCAGACUCUUUCCAGUGGCUGAGAAAAUCCCAGUCCCAUUGAAUUAGAAUCUCCAGGAAGAUCCUGUGAAACUGCUCCAACCUCACCUGAAGUCAACCCUAAGGCUAGGGUUUUCAGGUACAUGACGAAAUUCCCUUUAUAGUUUAAGAGAAUUUGAGGCCAACUGAAUUUGUUCCCUUUUAUUUUUUAUUUCAGUCUUUACUUUGCAGUUAAGUAACCUGAGCUUUUAUGGGAUAUUUUAUUUACAUACCUCUGAAGAUGUUCAAAGGACAACCUCUGUGAGUAUUUAUUGGAAGAAAAACAUUGAUAAAACUCCUCCCUCUGACCUGCCUUUCUUUCAUUACAUAAACCCUCAGACACUUUUUGAAGAAGAGGAAAUCUCCCUAUGGUGUUCCAUUGCACUCAUAGAAAUUUGGAUCCUCAGAACUCUCUCCAAAAUGUACUUCAGUGCUGCAAAUCACCGUAUACCUCUAAGUGAUGGAAACAGCAUUCCUAUCAUCGGUAUUGGAACCUACUCAGAACCUAAACUGUGCUGAUGUGUGCAAGGAGUGCCCUGCCACGCAGGGGUAUCCCCCGUGUAGGGGAGCCCCAUGUGCAAGGAGUGCGCCCCAUAAGGAGAGAUGCCCAGCGUGAAAGAAAGUGCAGCCUGCCCAAGAAUGGCACUGUCCACACAGAGAGCUGACACAACAAGAUAACACAACAAAAAGAAACACAGAUUCCCAGUGCCACUGAUGAGGAUAGAAGCAGUCACAGAAGAACACACAGCGAAUGGACACAGAGAGCCGACAACUGGAGG